ACUCCAAGAGAGAGAAAAAGUCCAAGAGAGAGAAAGAUUCCAAGAGAAAGAAAUAAAGAGGGACAAAAAAAAAAGUCAGCUCUCCAUUAUCAAUUGAAGCACCAAAAAAGGAAAAAAAAAUAGACAAAUAAUUUCCAUUUUUUUUGUAGCAGGAGGAUCGAUUCAUUCAUCAAUUGGUUAAAGAUGGAAGAGGAGAAGCAUCAAUCCAAGGAGCAAGGACUAAGCUUUCAACUACAUCUUGUUUGUUCAUUGAGCGUGAAUGUGGAUCCAAAUCUACUAGCUCUGACUCCGUGAUUUCAUUGGAAUCCUCUUUCUGGUUUCUACAUAUCACAAGUUUUGUGACAUCAUCUUGAAACGUUUGCAAAAUGGACAUCAUUAGCCAUGCACUAUUAUUAAAAUUGUAACUUAUUUAGAAAUUCGUUUAUAAUGAGUGUGAUUGUUAAAUUAUGAAAUUGAUAGCAUACCAACAUGGUAUUGUAUUAUACCAACAAAACAUUAUUUGGUUUUAGUUAUUGAUAUUUGAGUAUUAAUUGACGAUACAAACAUAGAUUAAUGAAAGAAAUUACAAUAAUUAUCUCCUUA
Chenopodium quinoa (quinoa) is the source of this 582-nucleotide long non-coding RNA. RefSeq lists it as uncharacterized. The transcript has 2 exons. The record is from RefSeq and is a predicted model, not a curated record. NCBI's taxonomy places the organism in Eukaryota, Viridiplantae, Streptophyta, Magnoliopsida, Caryophyllales, Amaranthaceae.